This is a non-coding RNA of Corylus avellana, 1431 nucleotides long. NCBI's taxonomy places the organism in Eukaryota, Viridiplantae, Streptophyta, Magnoliopsida, Fagales, Betulaceae. The record is from RefSeq and is a predicted model, not a curated record.
ACCACCGCACCUCUCCAGUCAAAUGCCGGCGCCGGAAUUCAUGGAGCCACCUCUGGAAUACACCAAAGGUCAUUGCCGGAAUCUGUCAAUUUAAGGUAGAUGAGAACCGAGAGAGAGAGAGAGAGAUCGGGUCUGUGAUGGUUGAUGGGUAAUUGAGAAGAGAAUUUAUGUGGGUUUUGUUGAUUGAUGAUUGUGGAGUUUGGGGAUUUUGAUUGUUCUGAUUUGGGGAUUUUGAUUUAGUAUUUCAAUUUAUGUGGGUUUUAUUGAUUGGGUUUUUCUUGGGUUGUGGAUCUUGUUGUUGAGAUGGGUUUCAACGGCCAUUAGAGCUUCCAAAUCUGGGUUGGGUCGAGCUCAACAAUUUGAUUUUCUUUUCUGAUAGGAUUCCAGGUAGUACUCAUCAUCCACAUCAGCUGAACCCACAUUAUUUGGUCAUGGAGAUGGAUAAGGAGUACCAACAUGCAGAUCAUGGGCAAUAGUGGUGUUUGCCAUGGCCAUGAUGUGCAACGUGGCAUGGGUAAGAGCAUCUCCAGCAGUAAGAGAGCAUGGAAUGUGAGAAGAUGCAGAGCAUGGAAGAUUCAUUGAACGAGAUCAAGAACUUACUGGCUGGAGUUAAUCAAUUCUCUGAGAAGAGCACCAACAACACAAAGGAAAAAAGAUCAACAAUAUCCCAUGGCUUCCCCACCGGAGACAAGUAGCAGUAGGCAACACCCCCAUUGAAGCACCUUAAGAUGGAUUUCCCACGUUAUCAACAUGUCACUGGAAGGCAGUUACAAAUCCUCAACGUCAAUUUCACACAUUCCACCUUGAGGACAAGGUUCUCUUAAGGGGGGGCGAAUGAUAGGAUUCCACGAAAGACUUGUCAUACACAUCAGUCGAACCCACAUUAUUUGGUCAUAGAGAUGGAUAAGGAGAACCAACAUGAAAAUCAUGGGCAAUAGUGGUGUUUGCCAUGGGCCAUGAUGUGCAACGUGGCAUGGGUAAUGGGGUUAGUGUUAGUGUUAUCUUAUAAUAGGAGUUAGUGAGAAGUUUACUUACUAGAAAGUUAUUUAGUAUGUGCAGUUAUGUGUUGCGGUGUGAGAUAGUGUGAGAGAAGUGGUAGUGGUUUAGGUAGCUGCUAGUAAUAGAAUAUUUAAGGGUCUUUGUAUUAUGUUAUGAGUAUGGUGAAUUUGUAUUGUCUUGUGUAUGUGGUUCAACUCACACCCUAAGUGAAGUAUUAUCAUGUUCUUGUUCUGACUGGGACCCACUAAGGGUAUCAAAACAUAUUAUCUUGUUUGUGAUCAUGUUCUUGUUCUGACUGGGACCCACUAGAGGUAUCAGAAUGUAUUAUCUUGUUUGUGUGUUUGUAUUGUGGUAGAACUCCGGCCAUAAAUGGAGAUUUGUAACGUGUAUUAUCUUUAUAUUGUAUUAAAUAUUAGUUGUGUUUCUAUUAUA